ACGUCAGAAGUAACCUUUUAUUUAAAAACAUUCCCACCAUGUCCAAGCCGUCUUACUUUCAAACAAAUGUUCUGGCUGCAAAUACAAAGAGUACCUCCCCUGUACAAAGAAAGAAAAACAAUAAAGAACUCUUAUUGAGGAGUGUCAAUAAUAUCAGACAUUAGGUAAUCAACCUAGUAACAUGGAUUGACAAGAAUUUUAUGAUUGUAAAACAUGUGUGUAUAUACAUACGUAUGCAUAUAAAUCUAGACACAUUGAUGAACCCAUUGUAUAUGUGUGUGUGUGUGUGAGAGUGCUUAGUUCCAAACAUGGUUGAAGUCUUUUGAAAAAUAAAUCAAUAAUGAAAUGUUUGUACAAAUUUAAUCUCAAAGAGAAAUAUGUUUGUAUAUACAUUAUAUAAAUGAGAAUGACAUUAGCCAUUAAAAGCACCAAUCUAAGACAGAAAAUACCACAAGUCCACUGACUUGUGAUUGAAACAGGUAUUUAUUGCUUGGCAACCAAUUUAUUUAUAUUUUAUACAUUAUAUGAAUUUUAUACCUUCCAUUGUUCUCUGCACUUCAAAAAAAAAAAAAAUAUAUAUAUAUAUGUCCUUUAUGCCAAGCCAGAAAAAUUCUGUACAAAAAUGGAAAUUCCUUUGAUCAAGUUAGGUGUAGGUGACAGUGUUUAGAAAAGAAUUCAAGAAACUCUUCAAGUUCAAAAAUAUAAUUUGUUAUAACAGUUUUACCUUUUUUUUUUUUUUUGGAAUGAAAAGAAGUAUUUAUGUAUUCAUCUUUUUUUAAUCUUAUUUUAUGAUAAAUUUAUUUUAUUAAAAAUAGCACUGCUGGAUAUUAACAGAUGUAUUGGUAAAAUAAAUUAGAGAUCAGUUCAUAUCAUGAAUAUAAACAGGAUAUAUCAAAAUUAAUAUGAAAAUCUAUGAUUGGCCUGGAGAGUGGGGAAUGAAGACAUUUACAGAAUGAAUCCAAGUAUCAAAAAAUGGUAGCAUGAUCCAUACCAGUAACCAUUAGUCAUACAUGAUUUAUGUAUACAAUUGUCUAAAUACACACAUA
Molecule: long non-coding RNA, 1046 nt
Organism: Octopus bimaculoides (California two-spot octopus)
Lineage: Eukaryota; Metazoa; Mollusca; Cephalopoda; Octopoda; Octopodidae
Source: RefSeq, a predicted model, not a curated record